AGCAUCACUGGCGGAAAAUGCAAUAGACAGUUGUUAGAAAACAAAGAAGAAAAUAUUAGAAUCAUACGUACACCAAUGGUCCAUAUAUGGUUUUAUUUGCGAUUUAUGAUACACAUCGCAACUUUUUUUUCGAGUGACCUCGACAUUGACUGAAUUAAAUAACGUCGCCGAAAAAUAUUCUUGAAAGCAUGUCUUUUUUCCAUCGAAUUAACCUUUUCAUCUCGGAGCUCCUUCUUUAUGGUGCUGCUCCUAACCAAUAGAGCAGGUAUCUCGUUCCCGCGGAUACUCUUGUGCCCCGGUGACCACAAUAGCUGAGUGCAAUUGCCCAGUCCUGAAAGCGAUGACUUUUUUGUCGGCGUUCUAUUUCCAGUGAAAGCUGAUUUUAAGUUAAAAAUCAUAUAAGAAAAUUCUCACUCAAAAAAUAUUUAUUCUAAUUGCUUACUAAUAGCAGCAACGACUAAAAUUGUUCAAAAUUUAGCUACGAGUACGAACUAUAUUUUAUAAUUAUUGAAUGUCGAAUGACUAUAAACCAGAGCAAGCCGGAAAUG
Molecule: long non-coding RNA, 548 nt
Organism: Anastrepha ludens (Mexican fruit fly)
Lineage: Eukaryota; Metazoa; Arthropoda; Insecta; Diptera; Tephritidae
Exons: 3
Source: RefSeq, a predicted model, not a curated record